CUUUGUGGUUCAUGACUGGGGUGAAGUCGUAACAAGGUAGCGCUAGGGGAACCUGGCGCUGGAUCACCUCCUUA
RNAcentral lists this ribosomal RNA (74 nucleotides) under Vibrio alginolyticus. RNAcentral's name for it is "partial 16S ribosomal RNA". It matches the Rfam family "Bacterial small subunit ribosomal RNA", at positions 1460 to 1533 of the family's 1533-position model. The record is from RNAcentral. RNAcentral also lists the same sequence under 9 other names. Lineage: Bacteria; Pseudomonadati; Pseudomonadota; Gammaproteobacteria; Vibrionales; Vibrionaceae.